UACGAAGGGGGCUAGCGUUGUUCGGAAUUACUGGGCGUAAAGCGCGCGUAGGCGGUUUUCCAAGUCGUGCGUGAAAGCCCCGGGCUCAACCCGGGAAAUGCGCUCGAAACUUGAAGACUGGAGGCCGGAAGAGGGUAGUGGAAUUCCCAGUGUAGAGGUGAAAUUCGUAGAUAUUGGGAAGAACACCAGUGGCGAAGGCGGCUACCUGGUCCGGAUCUGACGCUGAGGCGCGAAAGCGUGGGGAGCAAACAGG
RNAcentral lists this ribosomal RNA (253 nucleotides) under uncultured bacterium. Its description in RNAcentral is "partial 16S ribosomal RNA". It matches the Rfam family "Bacterial small subunit ribosomal RNA", at positions 524 to 776 of the family's 1533-position model. The record is from RNAcentral.